CCGCUGAAUUUAAGCAUAUAAGUAAGCGGAGGAUAAGAAACUAAAUAGGAUUACCUCAGUAAUGGCGAAUGAACAGGGGUAAGCUCAGCAUUAAAAUUGGGGCCUCUGGCCUUGAAUUGUAGUCUCGAGAUGUACAACUAACAGGGGUGCAGGUGUAAGCCUCCUGGAAAGGAGCGCCGGCGAGGGUGAGAGCCCCGCGCGUCUUCUGCAGCCCCCUGUGCACAGUGUACUUUCCAAGAGUCACGUUCCUCGGGAUUGGAGCGCAAAGUGGGUGGUAAAUUUCAUCUAAAGCUGAAUAUGGGUCCGAGACUGAUAGCAAACAAGUACCCUGAGGGAAAGAUGAAAAGGACUUUGAAAAGAGAGUUAAACAGAGCCUGCCAUUGCUGAAAGGGAAGCGAACGAUACCAGUGUGACUUGGCGGGAUUGCCUCACAUUAUUGCGACUACUUGGUGCCUUUGCGAAAGCAUGGCGCUAGGUUUUUAGCAGGACGUGCGUGGUACUUCUUGCCUUGUCAGUCAACCUCGGUUUGUGCCUUUGGAAAAAAGUGGGGACAUGGUAGCCUGCCUCUGGGUGCGCGAAUGUUUCUGCGAAUGCGAAUGCACCUACUGACUGUUGACCACAUGGUUUCUUUCGACCCGUCUUGAAACACGGACCAAGGAGUCUAACAUAUGUGCGAGUUCGCGGGUUUUUAAUCCUGUUUGCGCAAUGAAAGUGACUGCUGGGAUUACUGCACCAGCAACCGACCAAUCAACUGCGAGAGGUUUGAGUGUGAGCAUGUCUGUUAGGACCCGAAAGAUGGUGAACUAUGCCUGUGAAGGGCAAACUCAGGGGAAACUCUGAUGGAGGCUCGUAGCGAUACUGACGUGCAAAUCGUUCGUCAUACAUGGGUAUGGGGGCGAAAGACUAAUCGAACCAUCUAGUAGCUGGUUCCCUCCGAAGUUUCCCUCAGGAUAGCUGGAGUUGAUCAGUUUUAUCAGGUAAAGCGAAUGAUUAGAGGAAUCGGGGACGCGUUGUCCUCGACCUAUUCUCAAACUUUAAAUGGGUAAGAUCCAGUGGUUACUUGGGUGAACUUCUGGGAUACAUGACAACUCUAAGUGGGCCAUUUUUGGUAAGCAGAACUGGCGAUGAGGGAUGAACCUAACGUUGGGUUAAGGUGCUUAACUGCUCGCUCAUCAGAUACCAUAAAGGGUGUUGGUUCAUUUUAACAGCAGGACGGUGGUCAUGGAAGUCGAAAUCCGCUAAGGAGUGUGUAACAACUCACCUGCCGAAUGGACUAGCCCCGAAAAUGGAUAGCGCUCAAGCGGGUGACCGAUACCCAACCAUUGCUGCAAUUGUGCUGCAUCAAUGAGUAGGAGGGCAUGGGGGCUUGUAGUGAAGCUUGUGGCGCAAGCCUGGGUGAAACAGCUUCUGGUGCAGAUCUUGGUGGUAGUAGC
RNAcentral lists this ribosomal RNA (1433 nucleotides) under Archaeperidinium minutum. RNAcentral describes it as "eukaryotic LSU rRNA". It matches the Rfam family "Eukaryotic large subunit ribosomal RNA", at positions 25 to 1464 of the family's 3401-position model. Lineage: Eukaryota; Dinophyceae; Peridiniales; Amphidiniopsidaceae. The record is from RNAcentral.